GAUGAACGCUGGCGGCGUGCCUAACACAUGCAAGUCGAACGAAGCUUGACGGAUGAUUUCUUCGGAAUGAAACCAGAUAUGACUUAGUGGCGGACGGGUGAGUAACACGUGAGCAACCUGCCUUUCAGAGGGGGAUAACGGCUGGAAACGGUCGCUAAUACCGCAUGAAGUGUUCGGAUGGCAUCAUCUGAACAUCAAAGNUUUAUCGCUGAAAGAUGGGCUCGCGUCUGAUUAGAUAGUUGGUGGGGUAACGGCCUACCAAGUCGACGAUCAGUAGCCGGACUGAGAGGUUGAACGGCCACAUUGGGACUGAGACACGGCCCAAACUCCUACGGGAGGCAGCAGUGGGGAAUAUUGGGCAAUGGAGGAAACUCUGACCCAGCAACGCCGCGUGGAGGAAGAAGGUUUUCGGAUCGUAAACUCCUGUCCUUGGAGACGAGUAGAAGACGGUAUCCAAGGAGGAGGCCCCGGCGUAACUACGUG
This 483-nucleotide ribosomal RNA is filed under the name uncultured bacterium. RNAcentral's name for it is "bacterial SSU rRNA". It matches the Rfam family "Bacterial small subunit ribosomal RNA", at positions 28 to 507 of the family's 1533-position model. The record is from RNAcentral.